Molecule: ribosomal RNA, 756 nt
Filed under: Triticum aestivum (bread wheat)
Lineage: Eukaryota; Viridiplantae; Streptophyta; Magnoliopsida; Poales; Poaceae
Description: partial small subunit ribosomal RNA
Source: RNAcentral
AUGAGGUUGACAAUGGCAUGGAUGUAUGCUAAUCUUGUUCACAGUGAUGAUCUACUGGAUGCAACAAUUUCCUUCAGGCUACUGAGAGAAGCUGGAUGUGAUAUUUCAGCAGAUGAGGUUCUUCGAAAGUUUGUCAACGAAAACGAUGACUUCAACCUUGAUCAUACCAAAGACAUCAGAGAGUUGCUCAGCUUGCAGGACAUAUCACACUUGAACAUGGGAGAAGCAUCACUAUACAAGGCAAAUGACUUCUCAAGAAAACACCUCACUUCUGCAAUUUCUGCAAUUAAACACUUGGACCUGAACCUUGCAAGAUAUGUGAGGCAUUCACUGGAUCAUCCCUACCAUGUGAGCCUAACGCAGUACAAGGCUAGACACCACCUGAGCUAUCUCCAGAGCUUGCCCACUCGGAACACUGCAAUGGAGGAGCUGGCACUUGCAGACUUCCAGCUUAACAAGUUGCAGCAUCAGAUGGAAAUGCAAGAGGUUAAGAGAUGGUGGAUGGGCCUGGGAUUGGCUCAAGAAAUACCAGCUACGCGUGACCAAAUUCUUAAAUGGUACAUGUUUCCCAUGACUAUCCUCCAGGGGCAAUCCUUCUCCAGAUACCGGAUUGAGAUCUCACCAAAAUCAUCGCAAUUGUCAGUAUUGUGGAUGACAUCUUUGAUGUUGUUGCAACACAAGAGGAGCUUUCUCGCUUCACCUAGGCAAUCAAAAUGUGGGAUCUUGCAGCUGCUGCAUCACUUCCAAGCUACAUGA